RNAcentral lists this ribosomal RNA (2921 nucleotides) under Staphylococcus aureus 43P8. RNAcentral's name for it is "bacterial LSU rRNA". It matches the Rfam family "Bacterial large subunit ribosomal RNA". The record is from RNAcentral. Lineage: Bacteria; Bacillati; Bacillota; Bacilli; Caryophanales; Staphylococcaceae.
UUAAGUUAUUAAGGGCGCACGGUGGAUGCCUUGGCACUAGAAGCCGAUGAAGGACGUUACUAACGACGAUAUGCUUUGGGGAGCUGUAAGUAAGCUUUGAUCCAGAGAUUUCCGAAUGGGGAAACCCAGCAUGAGUUAUGUCAUGUUAUCGAUAUGUGAAUACAUAGCAUAUCAGAAGGCACACCCGGAGAACUGAAACAUCUUAGUACCCGGAGGAAGAGAAAGAAAAUUCGAUUCCCUUAGUAGCGGCGAGCGAAACGGGAAGAGCCCAAACCAACAAGCUUGCUUGUUGGGGUUGUAGGACACUCUAUACGGAGUUACAAAGGACGACAUUAGACGAAUCAUCUGGAAAGAUGAAUCAAAGAAGGUAAUAAUCCUGUAGUCGAAAAUGUUGUCUCUCUUGAGUGGAUCCUGAGUACGACGGAGCACGUGAAAUUCCGUCGGAAUCUGGGAGGACCAUCUCCUAAGGCUAAAUACUCUCUAGUGACCGAUAGUGAACCAGUACCGUGAGGGAAAGGUGAAAAGCACCCCGGAAGGGGAGUGAAAUAGAACCUGAAACCGUGUGCUUACAAGUAGUCAGAGCCCGUUAAUGGGUGAUGGCGUGCCUUUUGUAGAAUGAACCGGCGAGUUACGAUUUGAUGCAAGGUUAAGCAGUAAAUGUGGAGCCGUAGCGAAAGCGAGUCUGAAUAGGGCAUUUAGUAUUUGGUCGUAGACCCGAAACCAGGUGAUCUACCCUUGGUCAGGUUGAAGUUCAGGUAACACUGAAUGGAGGACCGAACCGACUUACGUUGAAAAGUGAGCGGAUGAACUGAGGGUAGCGGAGAAAUUCCAAUCGAACCUGGAGAUAGCUGGUUCUCUCCGAAAUAGCUUUAGGGCUAGCCUCAAGUGAUGAUUAUUGGAGGUAGAGCACUGUUUGGACGAGGGGCCCCUCUCGGGUUACCGAAUUCAGACAAACUCCGAAUGCCAAUUAAUUUAACUUGGGAGUCAGAACAUGGGUGAUAAGGUCCGUGUUCGAAAGGGAAACAGCCCAGACCACCAGCUAAGGUCCCAAAAUAUAUGUUAAGUGGAAAAGGAUGUGGCGUUGCCCAGACAACUAGGAUGUUGGCUUAGAAGCAGCCAUCAUUUAAAGAGUGCGUAAUAGCUCACUAGUCGAGUGACACUGCGCCGAAAAUGUACCGGGGCUAAACAUAUUACCGAAGCUGUGGAUUGUCCUUUGGACAAUGGUAGGAGAGCGUUCUAAGGGCGUUGAAGCAUGAUCGUAAGGACAUGUGGAGCGCUUAGAAGUGAGAAUGCCGGUGUGAGUAGCGAAAGACGGGUGAGAAUCCCGUCCACCGAUUGACUAAGGUUUCCAGAGGAAGGCUCGUCCGCUCUGGGUUAGUCGGGUCCUAAGCUGAGGCCGACAGGCGUAGGCGAUGGAUAACAGGUUGAUAUUCCUGUACCACCUAUAAUCGUUUUAAUCGAUGGGGGGACGCAGUAGGAUAGGCGAAGCGUGCGAUUGGAUUGCACGUCUAAGCAGUAAGGCUGAGUAUUAGGCAAAUCCGGUACUCGUUAAGGCUGAGCUGUGAUGGGGAGAAGACAUUGUGUCUUCGAGUCGUUGAUUUCACACUGCCGAGAAAAGCCUCUAGAUAGAAAAUAGGUGCCCGUACCGCAAACCGACACAGGUAGUCAAGAUGAGAAUUCUAAGGUGAGCGAGCGAACUCUCGUUAAGGAACUCGGCAAAAUGACCCCGUAACUUCGGGAGAAGGGGUGCUCUUUAGGGUUAACGCCCAGAAGAGCCGCAGUGAAUAGGCCCAAGCGACUGUUUAUCAAAAACACAGGUCUCUGCUAAACCGUAAGGUGAUGUAUAGGGGCUGACGCCUGCCCGGUGCUGGAAGGUUAAGAGGAGUGGUUAGCUUCUGCGAAGCUACGAAUCGAAGCCCCAGUAAACGGCGGCCGUAACUAUAACGGUCCUAAGGUAGCGAAAUUCCUUGUCGGGUAAGUUCCGACCCGCACGAAAGGCGUAACGAUUUGGGCACUGUCUCAACGAGAGACUCGGUGAAAUCAUAGUACCUGUGAAGAUGCAGGUUACCCGCGACAGGACGGAAAGACCCCGUGGAGCUUUACUGUAGCCUGAUAUUGAAAUUCGGCACAGCUUGUACAGGAUAGGUAGGAGCCUUUGAAACGUGAGCGCUAGCUUACGUGGAGGCGCUGGUGGGAUACUACCCUAGCUGUGUUGGCUUUCUAACCCGCACCACUUAUCGUGGUGGGAGACAGUGUCAGGCGGGCAGUUUGACUGGGGCGGUCGCCUCCUAAAAGGUAACGGAGGCGCUCAAAGGUUCCCUCAGAAUGGUUGGAAAUCAUUCAUAGAGUGUAAAGGCAUAAGGGAGCUUGACUGCGAGACCUACAAGUCGAGCAGGGUCGAAAGACGGACUUAGUGAUCCGGUGGUUCCGCAUGGAAGGGCCAUCGCUCAACGGAUAAAAGCUACCCCGGGGAUAACAGGCUUAUCUCCCCCAAGAGUUCACAUCGACGGGGAGGUUUGGCACCUCGAUGUCGGCUCAUCGCAUCCUGGGGCUGUAGUCGGUCCCAAGGGUUGGGCUGUUCGCCCAUUAAAGCGGUACGCGAGCUGGGUUCAGAACGUCGUGAGACAGUUCGGUCCCUAUCCGUCGUGGGCGUAGGAAAUUUGAGAGGAGCUGUCCUUAGUACGAGAGGACCGGGAUGGACAUACCUCUGGUGUACCAGUUGUCGUGCCAACGGCAUAGCUGGGUAGCUAUGUGUGGACGGGAUAAGUGCUGAAAGCAUCUAAGCAUGAAGCCCCCCUCAAGAUGAGAUUUCCCAACUUCGGUUAUAAGAUCCCUCAAAGAUGAUGAGGUUAAUAGGUUCGAGGUGGAAGCAUGGUGACAUGUGGAGCUGACGAAUACUAAUCGAUCGAAGACUUAAUCAA